GUGGGGAAUAUUGGACAAUGGGCGAAAGCCUGAUCCAGCCAUGCCGCGUGUGUGAAGAAGGUCUUCGGAUUGUAAAGCACUUUAAGUUGGGAGGAAGGGUAGUAACCUAAUACGUUGCUACUUUGACGUUACCGACAGACUAAGCACCGGCUAACUUCGUGCCAGCAGCCGCGGUAAUACGAAGGGUGCAAGCGUUAAUCGGAAUUACUGGGCGUAAAGCGCGCGUAGGUGGUUCAGUAAGUUGGAAGUGAAAUCCCCGGGCUCAACCUGGGAACUGCUUUCAAAACUGCUGAGCUAGAGUACGGUAGAGGGUGGUGGAAUUUCCUGUGUAGCGGUGAAAUGCGUAGAUAUAGGAAGGAACACCAGUGGCGAAGGCGACCACCUGGACUGAUACUGACACUGAGGUGCGAAAGCGUGGGGAGCAAACAGGAUUAGAAACCCGGGUAGUCC
RNAcentral lists this ribosomal RNA (450 nucleotides) under uncultured bacterium. RNAcentral describes it as "partial 16S ribosomal RNA". It matches the Rfam family "Bacterial small subunit ribosomal RNA", at positions 354 to 796 of the family's 1533-position model. The record is from RNAcentral.